GGGUCCCAGGGGGGUCCCCAGGCCGGGGGUCCGCUCUCACCGCGCAGCAGAGCCCUCACGAAGCGCCCGGCUCCCGGCACCGCCAGCCACCAACUCCCGGCAUCGCGCACGGUCAGGAGCCCCGCGGCCACCAGAGCCCUGCUGGGGCCACCAGAACCCGGCUGGGGCCACCAGAGCCCUGCCGGGGCCACCAAAACCCGGCUGUGGCCACCAAAACCCGGCUGUGGCCACCAAAACCCGGCUGUGGCCACCAAAACCCGGCUGGGGCCACCAAAACCCGGCUGGGGCCACCAAAACCCUGCUGUGGCCACCAAAACCCAGCCAUGGCCACCAGAACCCGGCUGUGGCCACCAGAACCCGGCUGGGGCCACCAAAACCCGGCUGUGGCCACCAGAGCCCUGCUGGGGCCACCAAAACCCUGCUGGGGCCACCAAAACACGGCUGUGGCCACCAAAGCCUGGCUGUGGCCAUCAGAACCUGGCUGUGGCUACCAGAACCCGGCUGUGGCCACCAGAACCCGGCUGUGGCCACCAGAACCCCCCAGAGCCACCCUGGGGGUCCCAAACCCCACCCUGGGCUGUCCCCAGGUCCCCCCAGGUGUCCCCAUGACCCCCAGGUGUCCCCAGGUGUGUUCCAGGUGUGUUUUUGGUGUCCCCAGGUGUCCCCCCAUGACCCCCAGCUGUCCCCAAAUGUCCCCAGGUGUCCCCAGGUGAGGUUUUGGUGUCCCCAGGUGUGUCCCAGGUGUCCCCAUGUCCCCCCAGGUGUCCCCAGGUGAGGUUUGGGGUGUCCCCAGGUGUGUCCCAGCUGUCCCCAGGUGUCCCCAGGUGAGGUUUUGGUGUCCCCAGGUGUCCCCAGGUCCCCCCAGCUGUCCCCAGGUGUCUCAGGUGUGUCCCCAGGUGAGGUCUGGGGUGUCCCCAGGUGCUCCCAGGUGUGUUCCAGAUGUGUCCUCUCUAUCCCAGGUGUCUCAGGUGUAUCUCAAAUCCCCCCAGGUGUCCCCAGGUGAGGUUUGGGGUGUCCCAGGUGUGUUUUUGGUGUCCCCAGGUGAGGUUUUGGUGUCCCCAGGUCCCCCCAGGUGUCCCCAGGUGUCCCCAGGUGUCUCAGGUGUGUCCCCAGGUGUGUUCCAGGUGUGGUUUUGGUGUCCCCAGGUGUUCCCAGGUGUCCCCAGGUGAGGUUUUUGUGUCCCCAGGUGAGGUUUUUGUGUCCUCAGGUGUGUUCCAGGUGUCCCCAGGUGUGUUUCAGGUGUCCCCAGGUGUGCCCAGGUGUCUCAGGUGUGUCCCAGGUGUUCCCAAGUGUGUCCCAGGUGUCCCAGGUGUGUUUUUGGUUUCCCCAGGUGUCCCCAGGUGUGUUUUUGGUGUCCCCAGGUGUCCCAGGUGUGUUUUUGGUGUCUCAGGUGUCCCCAGGUGUGUUUUUGGUGUCUCCAGGUGUCCCAGGUGUGUUUUUGAUGUCCCCAGGUGUGUCCCAGGUGUGUCCCAGGUGUGUCCCAGGUGUGUCCCAGGUGUGUUUUGGUGUCCCCAGGUGUCCCCAGGUGUCCCUUACGUCACAUCCCUGUCCCCAGGUGUCCCCCCAGGUGCCCCCAGGUGUCCCCAGGUGUCCCCAGGUGUCCCCAGGCGUCCCUUACGUCACAUCCCUGUCCCCAGCUGUCCCCAGAUGUGUCUCAGGUGUGUCCCAGGUGUCCCCAAGUCCCCCAGGUGUCCCCAGGUGUUCCCAGGUGUGUUUCAGGUGUCCCCAGCUGUCCCCAGGUGUCCCCAGGUGUCCUUAGGUGUGUCCCCAGGUGUGUUUCAGGUGUCCCCAGGUGUCCCCAGGUGUCCCCAGGUGUCCCCAGGUGUCCCAGGUGUGUCCCCAGGUGUCCCUUACGUCACAUCCCUGUCCCCAGGUGUGUCCCAGCUGUCCCCAGGUGUGUUUUUGGUGUCCCCAGGUGUCCCCAGGUGUCCCCAGGUGUCCCCAGGUGUCCCAGGUGUGUCCCAGGUGUCCCCAGGUGUGUCCCCAGGUGUCCCAGGUGUCCCCAGGUCCCCGCAGGUGUCCCCAGGUGUCCCCAGGUGUCCCCAGCUGUCCCCAGGUGUCCCCAGGGGUCCCCAG
This is a long non-coding RNA of Parus major (Great Tit), 2076 nucleotides long. The record is from Ensembl. NCBI's taxonomy places the organism in Eukaryota, Metazoa, Chordata, Aves, Passeriformes, Paridae.